AAUUGUGGAAUUGUGGGUAUAGUUUUAUAAAAUAACAAAUAUGAUGGGUGUCGUUACCAGUCUUUCCACGCAACGAAAACACAUCCAAGAAACAAAAACACGCCAAAAUCCUCGCGUGCCUGGAUGUAAAAUUUGGCUUUAUUUUUUUUAAUAGGCAUUUCUAUUACAGGUAGCGUUCCAUGUAUUUAUAUUUAUUGUUACAUAGAUGCUGACAGCUGAUCUGAGCCAGCAAUGGAAGGCAACUGAUUAGAAUUCAGGACUGAAAACCAGUCUAGCAGUACCGUUGAUGAGCUUUUUUCAUUUUAAUAUCUUUUAGGCAUGGCGUAAAUUGAACGUUAACAUACAUCCUACUAUGCUUGACUAAUUUCUUUUCAAAACGAUGUCACUUUCAUAAGAAAUCAGCCUGGCAUAACAAAAUAAAUGAAAACACUCUCCCCCCCCCCUCUAAAUUAACGUUUGUUUAAAGACGGUUCUUUCAAAGAUUUCUACUUAACUGAAGACAAGGAAAAAGUUGUCAGGACUUGAUAUAUUUACGACCUUUCGCCUCUCGUUUAGAACGUUCAAAUAUGGAACUUAGGACUCAAUCUUCAUUUAAUACUAAUUUUAAUACCAAACGUUUUAGAAACAGUUUUAUAACUAAUAACUCAUUGAAGAUGUAAUUUAGUUAUAUUAUUUAUGUAUGUACUCUAUGUAAUCUUAAAGGUAUUUCAGCAAUAUGGCUGCCAGUUUUAAAAAAUAAAUCAUCUAUCUAUCUA
Molecule: long non-coding RNA, 755 nt
Organism: Xenia sp. Carnegie-2017
Lineage: Eukaryota; Metazoa; Cnidaria; Anthozoa; Malacalcyonacea; Xeniidae
Exons: 2
Source: RefSeq, a predicted model, not a curated record